CCUCUCCUCUGUCCUCACACGGCCCUGCU
Molecule: non-coding RNA, 29 nt
Filed under: Mus musculus (house mouse)
Lineage: Eukaryota; Metazoa; Chordata; Mammalia; Rodentia; Muridae
Source: RNAcentral